CGGCCGUGAGGAGACCCCUGCUGUGUUGACGUGCGGUGAUGCUGCUUAUACGCUAUUCUGAGCCGACA
Peromyscus maniculatus bairdii (prairie deer mouse) is the source of this 68-nucleotide small nucleolar RNA. Ensembl annotates it as predicted gene, 24016. The record is from Ensembl. NCBI's taxonomy places the organism in Eukaryota, Metazoa, Chordata, Mammalia, Rodentia, Cricetidae.